Molecule: non-coding RNA, 582 nt
Organism: Labrus bergylta (ballan wrasse)
Lineage: Eukaryota; Metazoa; Chordata; Actinopteri; Labriformes; Labridae
Source: RefSeq, a predicted model, not a curated record
AGGAGUCAGUGAGAAGGCAACAGGAGACAGUCAUUCCUAAAACAGUCAAGGAGAACUUCUGAAAGAAAAACAAUGUGCUUUUCUACCCUGGACACAAAGCUGGACUCAACUGAACUGAAACUUCAAGCCCUUGAGGAGCUGCUGUGCUGCUGGCGAGGAGGAAUGUGUCAAGACUGAACACUGGUCAGGCCAUAUUGCUGGAGCAAAGAAGAUGGCGAGCUAAAGGAGCAACUUCAAAAGACUCAAGAUUCCCUCAAAAGGCAGGCUUCAAGCCUGGCUAUCUGGUUGAAGGGUGUGGUAGGAUUUCCCCUACCUAAAUAAACAUUUGAAUUCGUUGGACAUCUGCACACACAUAACAAGUAACUGCAGUACGUGUAAUGUGUUUUGGUGCAUUGAUUUAUACGACUAGAAUUGGGAAUAUUUAGCCAAUGUUGUAUGGAGGGUAAAAAGUGCCCUUAAGAAUAUGUUAAUUGAAGGCCUAUUUUCUUUUGUUUAAUUUGUGGUAUUUUCCUUGAUUAAGUUAAAGUGUUUUUUGUUAUUUGUUACAAAUUGAAUUUUGAAAUACACAACCGGUUAUCAACA